Molecule: ribosomal RNA, 494 nt
Filed under: uncultured bacterium
Lineage: Bacteria
Description: partial 16S ribosomal RNA
Rfam family: Bacterial small subunit ribosomal RNA
Source: RNAcentral
GACGAACGCUGGCGGCGUGCUUAACACAUGCAAGUCGAACGGAAAGGCCUGCUUUCCCUUGUGGAUUGCGGGUACUCUAGUGGCGAACGGGUGAGUAACACGUGAGUUAUCUUCCCCCAACUUGGGUAUAAGCCUGGGAAACUGGGUCUAAUUCCCGAUAGGACUGCAGGGUGUUUCCUGUGGUGGAAAACGAUUUUCUAUUGUUUGGGGAUGAGCUCGCGGCCUAUCAGCUUGUUGGUUGGGUAAUGGCCUACCAAGGCGGCGACGGGUAGCCGGCCUGAGAGGGUGGAAGGCCAGAUUGGGACUGAGAUACGGCCCAGACUCCUACGGGAGGCAGCAGUGGGGAAUAUUGCACAAGGGGAGGAAGCCUGAUGCAGCGACGCCGCGUGGGGGAUGACGGCCUUCGGGUUGUAAACUCCUUUCGACCGCGAGGAAGCCACCUGGUUGGAAGGGUGGUGACGGUAGUGGUAGAAGAAGCACCGGCUAACUACGUG